RNAcentral lists this ribosomal RNA (253 nucleotides) under uncultured bacterium. RNAcentral's name for it is "partial 16S ribosomal RNA". It matches the Rfam family "Bacterial small subunit ribosomal RNA", at positions 524 to 776 of the family's 1533-position model. The record is from RNAcentral.
UACGGAGGGGGCGAGCGUUAUUCGGAAUCAUUGGGCGUAAAGGGCGCGUAGGCGGCCUGAUAAGUCAAAGGUGAAAUCCCUCGGCUCAACUGAGGAACUGCCUUUGAAACUGCCAGGCUUGAGGCCGGGAGGGGGUGGCGGAAUUCCCAGUGUAGCGGUGAAAUGCGUAGAUAUUGGGAGGAAUACCGAUGGCGAAAGCAACCGUCUGGGCCUGAACUGACACUGAGACACGAAAGCGUGGGGAGCAAACAGG